Molecule: transfer RNA, 70 nt
Filed under: Pseudomyxus capensis (freshwater mullet)
Lineage: Eukaryota; Metazoa; Chordata; Actinopteri; Mugiliformes; Mugilidae
Description: tRNA-Met
Source: RNAcentral
AGUAAAGUCAGCUAACACAAGCUUUUGGGUCCAUACCCCAAAUAUGACGGUUAAACCCCUUCCUUUACUA